GAAAACUGAACUUAGAAAAUCAAAAAGGGGAGGAAGAGAAUUUUCAGAGUGGAAGAGAGUAAUAUUAAGCUAGCUUUUCAACCUUAAGAAAGCUAAGUGAAUUGAGUGUUCGAAACCAGAAGUUAUUGAUUUUCUAGCAACUGACUCUUCUCUGCUUUGAUUUUGAGGGUAUUAUGGUGGUAUUGGCAUCCAAUUGGUAUCUGGGGUUUUUAGUUGGUUUUUCAACUUGUUGUUUAGUGUUUUUGGGCUCUUUAUGUUGGUUUUCUAUUCAAAAAUCCCUG
Molecule: long non-coding RNA, 281 nt
Filed under: Nicotiana benthamiana
Lineage: Eukaryota; Viridiplantae; Streptophyta; Magnoliopsida; Solanales; Solanaceae
Description: long non-coding RNA (NBEN_LNC014174)
Source: RNAcentral